GGGUGCAGCCACCCGGCCUUCGCCCGCACCUGCACCCAGAGGAGCACCCGGGUGGGACCCGCAUGAGGGGAGGCGGUUUGGACCGCGGUUUGGACCAUGAUCAGGAACGACCGGGGCACCGGGGAGCCGUGGGGUGAAUGGGAAGUGGCAAAAGUUGAUUUUUAUGGCAACACAGCCUGUGCUGCGGAGCCUGCAGCCUGGGGAACUUCCAGGGAAGUGGAAGCUGUGAUCCCGCAAGGGUGCGGCGGGGGCCGUGCCCCGUGGGGUCCCCUGCCCCCGCUCUGCCGCCCGUGGUGGGGGUCUCCCUGCCUGCACCGGCAUCCGGCCUCUGCAACCUCUCUGCCUGCCCCGGUCCUCGUGAUUUUGUUUUAUUUUUAUGUUUAAAGAUUUUUAUUUAUUUAUUUGAGAGAGAGAAAGAGCGCCCAGGUAGGACGGACAGAGGGAGGAGGAGAAUGUCCAGCGGACUCCAGGCUGCGCGCAGGGCCCGGUGUGAGGCUCGGUCCCAGGACCCCGAGAUUGAGACCUGAGCAAACCCGAGGGUCGGCGCUUGACCGACUGAGCCGCCCGGGCGCCCCGUCCUUCUGAUUUACCCUAAAACCAUUCCCAGCCCUGGGGUGCGAGUGGAGCCGGCCACGUGGCCUGGGGCGGGGUCGCGGCGGCCUUAGAGCCUCUCUGAGCGGCCUCCGCACCCCUGGGCGCAGCUGGAACCGGGCGCCUGCCCCACCCAGGCUGGAGCGGGUGGGGCCGCUCACGUGCCUUGACGCGCCCUCCGGUCCCGACGCGCCUCCGAGCCUGCAGCCUCCGGAAAAUGCUGGCACACGCGCGAGGUUGGCACCGGAGCGCCCCUGGACGUCCAGCCCAGAGCGGGAGCCGCGGGGCUCCUGUUCAAGUGCUCGGCCCGACGGCAGGUCUGGGGGCUGGAGGCUGCGAUCCCGCCCGGCGCCCACGGGGGCCACGGCCUGCCUGCGGGGCCACCUUCUGCUGUUCAGUGCCGUGAGUCACCUGCCACCAGAGCCCUGUUCCUCCAGCUACGGGGCAGGCGUCACGCAGCAAGUCACGCUGAGGGAGACAAUGCCCAGCAAGAUGUCUCCUGAGGCCCGCGGGCCUGUGCUUCCUCCCUGCUCAGCCGCUCAGCGACCACGUGGACCCGGCUCUGUCCCGUGUGUCCCCAGGAGGACACACACCUGCCCUGAGCCACCCUGUGUUUUCUGGUCGCCUUCAGCAGGAAUUGGGCGAACGAGUGGAUGCUAGAAGCGUGAGACCAGGACCAGAUUUUAAGUGACCUCCCCCCCCCCCCAGGGCUUGUGCCGAUGGCAUUCGGGUCGAGUGAGCAAACGCAGCGGCUGGCGAGCAGGGAGGCCGGGUUGCCUUGGAGCCCCGUGCCCGGCUGGCCCGUGUCGCAGUUGGUGGACCCCAGAGCGGCCACCCGCUGCCUCCCUGCCCGCUGCGGGUGGCAGGCCCGGGAGGCGUGGGGAGACAGGCCCGAAGGCCUUGUCUCCCUGACCUGGGCGGAGCCCCUGGGUGGCCCUGGGGUCCCCGGCCCAGCACCCCCGGCACCACCAGGAGCUUGUUAGGACGCAGCCUGAGUGGCGGCUGGGCGGGGAGCAGCCGCGGCAACGGCCUUGCCCCCCCAGGACAGUGGAGGCCCCAGCACAAGGUCCCCAGAGAGCCGGGGGGAUGCCGCGGACUCGCCCUCAGUGAGCCCGGGAGCCCCGCUCUCACCAGCCCCAGGCUCUGCUCGGCCGGCCCCGCGAGGCCCAUCCAGACCUCGUCCUACAGCGCCCGGCCCCUGUGUGCGGUGCCUGGAGCCGUGGGAAGAAAUCCCAGGCCGGUCGGGAUCCGGGGGUGCCACGCGGUGCCCCUCACACCCUCGCGGCGUCAGUGCCUCGUGCGAUUCGGCAGAGAUCACACCGGGGAGAAGCGCCCCUGGCUCCGCCGGGGAUGUGUCCGCGAACGUGAGCCUCACCUGGGCCAGGUGCCGCUGCCGGGGACGGGGUGCCGACGGCUCGGGCCGCGUCGGGGUUCCGGGCGCCCACCAGGCCUCUCCACGAUGCAAAUUGCGCUGAAGCUUCCUGCUCGGACUGGAGAGUCAGCGUCCCUGUGCAGGCUCCACGUUGGACGUCAGGUCCCACCCGGUCCCCCCGCCGCAGCCCCGACGGGAGUGAAGCUGUGGGAGCCGCUGCGUGUGCUCUCAUGGUGUCCAGGGCCCUCUGCUUCGUCAUGCUGUUCUUCUCAGAUGCCCUGUAAAAACGCGUUAUUUUGGGACGUCUGGGUGGCUCAGCGGUUUAGCGCCGCCUUCGGCCCAGGGCAUCACCCUGGGGUCCUGGGAUCGAGUCCCACGUCGGGCUCCCUGCAUGGAGCCUGCUUCUCCCUCUGCCUGUGUCUCUGCCUCUCUCUGUGUCUCUCAUGAAUAAAUAAAUAAAAUCUUAAAAAAAAAACCUUUUUAA
Molecule: long non-coding RNA, 2447 nt
Organism: Nyctereutes procyonoides (raccoon dog)
Lineage: Eukaryota; Metazoa; Chordata; Mammalia; Carnivora; Canidae
Exons: 2
Source: RefSeq, a predicted model, not a curated record